This 253-nucleotide ribosomal RNA is filed under the name uncultured bacterium. RNAcentral's name for it is "partial 16S ribosomal RNA". It matches the Rfam family "Bacterial small subunit ribosomal RNA", at positions 524 to 776 of the family's 1533-position model. The record is from RNAcentral.
UACGUAGGGUGCAAGCGUUAAUCGGAAUUACUGGGCGUAAAGCGUGCGCAGGCGGUUUCGUAAGUCUGUCGUGAAAGCCCCGGGCUCAACCUGGGAAUUGCGAUGGAGACUGCGAGGCUAGAGUGUGUCAGAGGGGGGUAGAAUUCCACGUGUAGCAGUGAAAUGCGUAGAUAUGUGGAGGAACACCGAUGGCGAAGGCAGCCCCCUGGGUCAAGACUGACGCUCAUGCACGAAAGCGUGGGGAGCAAACAGG